ACCCACUCACACACAACUGCGCCGCCACCUUACUCCAAACCCUAUUUCCCAUUCCGAUCGCCCCUAUUCAUCUCAUCCCUGCUCUUCCAUCGACAUAAAUCUGAGCGAGGAUCCAAAAAGAAACCGUCGGUCUUUUCUUUCGCCCUGCAAAUUGCUCCCCAUCCCUUGUCCUCUUCCGGAAACUACAACGUGCGACGCCGUAGGAAUCGGCCUUCCGUAGCGUACACCUCACCGCAGAUCUGCGCCAACUGGGAUUCUGAAUCAACGUCUUCUGCCAACUCCUGGGUCAUCUCCUUCGUCCACCCCGGAGUCAGGUCGCAGCGCCUCUAACACCGAUCUCUCUUCCUCUAUCGAUCUGCGUCUUUUCUAUUUCCCCAACGUCUCUCCUCUCAUUAUCACUGCCGUUUAUUCAACUUUCUUGGCUUCUAGAUUUUUUUUUUCUCUCUCGUUCUUUCGUGGCACAUUUGGAUCCUGUUUUAUUACAGUAAUAUCUACAAUUCAUGAAGGCUUAGUUUUCUUGCACCGGCUCCCUGGGGUUGGCUCAAAAUCUUUUUCCCAGCCAACAGCAGCAAUUUUUUAUUUUUGGUGGUAUUCGUUCUGUAAAUUUGCAGUACUUUUUUUUUAAAUCUUCGAUACUGCUGUUGGAGACUGAAGUUGAAGGUUGAUUUUUGCAGGUAGCAAACUUUAUCGUGGAGUGAGAUGAUCGAGCUUGGCCGAAGGAAUGAGGAUAAGUCGUGCAUGAUUUGUCUUACUCAGAUGAAGAAAAAACAUUCCGGUCUUUUUACAUUUGGCAUGGGAGGAAUUGGAAAGAUUUUGCUGGGACAAAUACGAUGAGCUCAAGAUAGCACAUAGAAAUUCAUGUGCUAGUGAGGAAACUGAGUCAUCUGUCAGUAAUAAUUUGGAUUUAUGGUUGAAGGCUAGUGAAGGGCAGAAAGGGGGAAGGAUAUUGGGAAUGAGUUCUUUAAGCAAAAAUCAUAGAGUUUCUCGUAAAUUCUUUUCCACCCCAACAACAGUUACGACUCAGAUCAAUUCCUUGACUGAAGAAGUUUCACAUUUAAAGGGCAUAAUAUUAGAAAGAGAUGAAGAAAGAAGAGUUAGAGAUGCAGAAAUGAGAGCUAGUCAGGAAGAAAUGAGAGCUCUACGUCAACAACAAAAUUUAAUUAUGAAACAUCUUCAGUUAAGUUCCGCUCCUAAUUUUGGUGAUAUUGGCGAUGAUGGCGACGAUGGUGGCGAUGGAUCUUCUUGUAUGAAUUUUAUUUCUCAUAAUUAGUAUUUUUGAAUAUUAGUUAUUCUAUUGUAAAUAUUUCCUUUUUUUUUGUUAAUAUUACUAAUUUUUUUAAAAUAGGAUUGGUAAGACACAAUGAAAAUCAAUGUUGAAAAAGAAGAUGGAGAAGAUUUAGUCAUGUUUGGAAUUUUUUUGAAAUAUGGAUGGUUUAGAACUUCUUAUGAUGUUUGGAUUGUAUAGAUUUUAGAUCUUUUGUGAUGUUUGUAUUUUGAUGUAUUAAAUGUUUGGCUUGUAAGGGUAUUAGAUCAUGUUUGUAUUUUCAUGUAUCAUAUGUUUGGAUUGUAAGGAUAUUAGAUGAUGUUUACAUUUUAAUGUAUGGAAUGCUUGAAUUUUAUGGAUAUUUUGUGAUAUUUGGAUUUGA
Long non-coding RNA from Zingiber officinale, 1646 nucleotides. RefSeq lists it as uncharacterized. The record is from RefSeq and is a predicted model, not a curated record. NCBI's taxonomy places the organism in Eukaryota, Viridiplantae, Streptophyta, Magnoliopsida, Zingiberales, Zingiberaceae. The transcript is spliced from 3 exons.